CUUGUACUCCCUCCGUCCGAAAAUACUUUUCGUUGAAAUGGAUGUAUCUAGAUGUAUUUUAGUUCUAGACACAUCCAUUUUGAUGACAAGUAAUUCCGGAUGGAGGGAGUACUUG
Non-coding RNA from Triticum aestivum (bread wheat), 115 nucleotides. NCBI's taxonomy places the organism in Eukaryota, Viridiplantae, Streptophyta, Magnoliopsida, Poales, Poaceae. The record is from Rfam.